CCCCCAAUUUGCUGUGCCUUUGAUGUGUGGGACCCAGUAGUCAGCGUCUAUCAGUGAUGAAUCCUUCCCCCAAUCCCCAAACCACCAUGGCGGCCACCGGCGAGCUGCGCCGCCGCCCAGCACAUAGCAUCCCAGUCACGCCGCGCGUCGUGCAGAGCCAUGGUGGUUGCCGACUUCAAGUGCGGAGAGGGAGGCGCCUGGCUGGGUCGACCGGGAGCACCUCAAGGGCUGGCCGAGGGCAUGCUGGAUGCAGUGCGACGCCGCGGUGCGUGCUCCCCGAGUUCGUCAAAAUCGAUUCCUCGAGCAAAGUUUGACCAUGGAAAUUAUUCGGGGCACUUCAGUGAAGGAGAAGAGGUGUUGCAACUUAUCGGCAAGGAAACGAUAUGCUCCCCUUUUAUCAGUGGUGGAGAAGCAAUGUGCAGCUCAUUGUCAGUGAUGAUGACAGCCACAACUCCAUGGACUACAGUAAUCAUUCACGGCACAUCUUGUGCAUUCUUCAGAAUUCACGCUUCGCGUGAUGUUAAUCUCCACAGUAGUAUGAUGCGGCAGGGUUACAAGAUGCUCUGAAAUGGACCGAAACCGCUUCAUCGUUGUGGCCUCGGUACAUGGCCUCUUAGAGGCAGAGCAUCCUGAGCUGCACCAUCAUCCUGGAGUUGGUUAUGUAUCAAGCUCCACCUCCUCUGAUUGUGCAUGGCUGAGGGAGUGGACUGGUACUUCGUCAGGAAGGAGAUUAACUGGCUCACAAAUUCACUUGCAACAUCAACCUUCAUAGCCAGGAUUAAUAAAGUAAGCUGCUGGUUGGUGGGGUGCUAAACACGGAUACUUUGUUUAAUUAAAGGCCCAAAGACGUGACCAGGACCAGUCAAUUUUUCAACCAGCUUGAAAAAGAAUUGGGCGACCAGUAUUUGUAGUGUUCAUGAUGAACUUCAGUGGAGAGAAGCAGCGCGCAGCUCAUUGACAAGGAAAUGAUAUGCGCCCUUUUUAUCCUGAUGAGCUUGACUGGAGAAGCCGGCUGCCACUAGUUUCUGGCAAAGAAACUGGUUGGAGAUGAUACGCGUUGCAGCGAACGAUGACGAGAACCGUGACUUCAUGCCUGACUCCUUUGGUUUCUUCAGAGCCCGUUUCUUUGCGUCUUGAAAAAGAAGGACAAUUUUUGUUUGGCUUCCAAGUGGGCUGGGGAAAUUGAGAUUCUAGAUUGGAUUUUGGCUGAAAAAGUACCACCUGCCAGCCAAUCAGAACGAAGCUGCCUGUUCUUUGUACAUACAGUGACAAACAAGAGCUAGUGCCAUAUCCCGUCGCAGUGGGUGUACACGUACUUCCUCCAUUCAACUCAACGAUGUAACUAGGUAUGGUGGCCUCACUGUAGAUGUGUGAAUGGCGAUUUUUGAGUUAAUGGCAUCGAUCGGUUUGUGGUGCCUAAUAUUGAAAAGGAUAAAUGAAGAUAUGUGAAGAACUAGAGGGUGACGCGCGCUUUGUUGCUACGUCCUUCAAUAUGAGUUAAGCCUCUCUCCCUUUUACUUCUUAUCCGGUGGAGGCGAGCAUGAGGGUUUGUGUUUCUUUUUACACAUAAUUAAUACGGAAAUCAACAUAUGGGGCACCCUGUUCAUCUGGGCGUGGACCCAAUCACAACACACAUCACCGAUUCACCGACGACCAGGAGCCAACAUUCCUAGGAGUUUAGAAUCUUAUUCUUAGUAUACUUUGUUAAUAUUGCAUUUCUCUUGACCCCUUCAUUUGGGUUCUUUUUGCAACGUCUACCGUCACGGACAGAUAAUUUUCUUAACGUCCAAACAGUUGACAAGGACAAGCCAACUUGUCCGAACCACACUAAUUACUGUUACAUGAGAAAUUGUAUAUAUGUAAUUACCUUUGUGCAUGUCUUUCGUUCCAUCUUUUUAUUCAAUUGUGUGUGCCCUACUCUAUCAAUUUCUGACCACAGAAAUUUCUCGAGAUUUUUCCAGACGAGCUUGACUGGAGAAGCUAGGCGCCACUCGUUUCUGGCAAAGAAACUGGUUGGAGACGAUACGCGUCGUGGCGAAGGAUGACUAGAACCGCAACUCCAUGCUUGACCCCUUUGGUUUCUUCAGAACCCGAAAGAAACUGGUGGGAGACGGUACGCGUCGUGGCCCGUGGUGAUGAGGACCAUGACUCCAUGCCUGACUUAUUUGGAUUCCUCAGAGACCGGACCAGAGCCAUCACUAAGAAGCGCUGAAACGGGCCAGAAGCGCUUCGUCAUUCCAGCCCAAGACCGAACAGGAUGACGACCUAAAGAGGGCCGCGCGGCCCAAAGGGAGCUAUAUUGCCAACGAGUGGGAGCUACGCAGCGCAGGGGGCAGGAAAAUCCUAUUCGCCGCUCUCUGCGGCGAACUGUCGAGGGAUCGCACAGAGGAGAGCUGCGAGCGACCGACAUGGGCCGGCCCACUUAUACAUAACGAACUUCAGUGGAGAAGCAGUGCGCAAAUUUGAUCGUCGUCGAGGAAAUGAUACGCGCCCUUGUUUAUCUUGAUCAGUGGUGUAUCUUUUUCAGGAAGAAAAUGUGGUGCUGUAUCUGAAAUACCACAGAAACCUUUCAUGAUUUUGGUGCGGAAAAUCUAGAAAGCUGUAUGUAAUUUGUUGGUCAAAAGGUUGAUUGUACUUGUACGCAUUCUACCGUGACAAAUAAAAGAGAACAGAGGAUGCAGUAACCUCACUGUUUGUAACCGCUUGCAUUGUUUUAUCAUGACUCCCUAAUGGGAGCACAACCACUGGAGUGUUAUAUGUAGCAAUAGCUAGAAUGAAAUGUGUUGAACUUGAACACAGCUGUCCUGUGUUCAAAUGGAGAAAUGCUGGAUGACAGUGUACAUUCUCCUAGUCAUGAGUCAUGACAUGUAUAUAUAUUUUAGUGGCAUGUACUAUGCAGGUUGGCAUGCAA
Non-coding RNA from Aegilops tauschii subsp. strangulata, 2911 nucleotides. The record is from RefSeq and is a predicted model, not a curated record. Lineage: Eukaryota; Viridiplantae; Streptophyta; Magnoliopsida; Poales; Poaceae.